This 2253-nucleotide long non-coding RNA is filed under the name Homo sapiens (human). Its description in RNAcentral is "non-protein coding LINC00839:5". The record is from RNAcentral. Lineage: Eukaryota; Metazoa; Chordata; Mammalia; Primates; Hominidae.
UUUCACCCUGCUCCAGGCAGCGUGGUCUGUAUGGCUCCGCCCUGGGCAGGAGGAGAAAGAAGAGGGCCAGGCACCACGUGCCUGCACUCUCCCUGGAUGCUGGAGGCUGCUCCGCCGUGGGCAGGAGGAGAAGGAAGAGAACUGGGUGCCGCCUGCCUGCACUCUCUCCGGAUGCUGGAGGCUGGAGGCAGUGAGGCAGCAACAGCGCGAGGGCGAGGCGACUUUGGAGCUGCCUCAUGCAGCGACCUCGCCUUCCGCUGCGCCUCCUCCCAGAACCCAAGAAGCCUGGAACCUGUGGCGUCCAGCCCUGAAAGGAGGAGACGGCAACCCAGCCGCGCUUUUGCCUGCACUCUCCCUGGAUGCUGGAGGCUGGAGGCAGUGACGCAGCAACAGCGCGAGGCGACUUUGGAGCGGCCUCAUAUAGCGACCUCGCCUUCCGCUGCGCGUCCUCCCAGAGCCCAAGAAGCCCGGAACCUGUGGCAUCCAUCUCUGAAAGGAGAAGACGGCAACCCAGCCGAGGCACUACUGGGUUGGGGUCUCCACGACCGAGCUGGUCUCAUCAAGUGGCGUCCAACAAGGGGCUCAAACCCGGGUUGAGGGGUUGCUGGAGCGACGGAGAACGUGGAACUACACUGGAGGACACCAGAGUACUCUUAAGCAAUCCCUUGGCCAAAACCAGCAACUGAUUUGGAUACCAUCAAGACACCUGAAAUCUUGUCAUGAGCCAGAUACUGAGGAAGAGAUUUUGGGAAGAACCCAAGGACCCCCCAGUUGCAGCCAUGUCAAGACUGACAAUAAGGAAGACAUCAGUCCCAGCAAGCAACAUUCAUCGGGCACAGCCACCCAUGUGGGGCCAGAUCAAGAAGUUGACACAGAUGGCGGAAGAAAAUCUGAAGAAAGCGGAUGACCAGCUACAAUGAGUAAUCUAAUGUCUGCAGAUGUGGAUCCCGAAUCCUGCGAGAAGUAGCCCACCAUGACGAAGCUGCCUUUGCUUUUAUCGCUUUGCAAAAACAGAAAAGGGGACAUGCUGGGAACAGGCCCUAAGCCUGUCAUAAACAGGCCUUAAACUGACCAUGAACAGGAUUUCUGCACGAAUGUGACGUGCUCCUGAUGGCUAUGACGCCCACUGCUAGAAGUUGUUAGUUUACUGGAGCAGGGUAGGGAACACCUGGCCCACCCGGAGCGGAAAACUGCUCAAACCACAAACAACAGCAUGAGUGGCCUGAGCCUUAACAACAUGUUUUUGCUGCAGAUAAUCGGCCAGAGACUGUUUCUCUACUCCUCUCUAAGUAUGCUUUGUUUUUCGUAAGGAAUGCUUUUAGCUAAUCUGUAACCUAUAGAAACAAUGCUUAUCACUGGCUUGCUGUCAAUAAACAUGUGGGUCAAACUCUGUUUGUGGCUCUCAGCUCUCAAGGCUGUUUUCCCCCUGAUUCCCACUUUGCACUUUAUUUCUGUGUGUUUGUCUUCAUUCCUCUAGCACCACUGGGUUGGGGUCUCCUUGACCAAGCUGGUCUCGGCACAUAUGCAUGUAUGCCCAGGUCCUGAAAUCAGCCUUGUGGAGCCUGUGGGUAGGAAAAGUCAACCCUCUGUGCAUGUAGGCCUGGAACCUGACCAAUACUGUAUUUUCCUACCACGUUUGGUUUCAAAUGUGGAAACUGCCCAUACGGACCUACUGCAUUUGUUUUUAAAAAUCCUCUGUAAGUGGACCUGCACAGUUCAGGCCCAGAUUGUUCCAGGAUCAACCCUACAGUAGAAAUCAAGUAUCUUUUUCAUUGUCUCUUGGGAUCUGCCUUUUCACCAAUAAAAUAUGAGGGCUGUUGGGAGCAGGCCCCCCCAAAUCUGGCCAUAAACUGUCCCCAAAACUGGCCAUAAACAAAAUCUCUGCAGCACUAUAACAUGUUCAUAAUGGCCAUAACGCCCAAGUUGGAAGGUUGUGGAUUUACAGGAAUGAGGGCAAGGAACACCUGGCCUGCCCAGGGUGGAAAACCACUUAAAGGCAUUCUUAAGCCACAAACAAUAGCAUGAGUGAUCUGUGCCUUAAGAACAUGCUCCUGCUGCAGUUAACUAGCCCAACAUAUUCCUUUAAUUCAGUCCAUCCCUUCGUUUCCCAUAAGGGAUACUUUUAGUUAAUUUAAUAUCUAUAGAAAGAAUGCUAAUGACUGGUUUGCUGUUAAUAAAUACGUGGGUAAAUCUCUGUUUGGGGCUCUCAACUCUGAAGGCUGUGAGACCCCUGAUUUCCCACUUGACACCUCU